Molecule: ribosomal RNA, 253 nt
Filed under: uncultured bacterium
Lineage: Bacteria
Description: partial 16S ribosomal RNA
Rfam family: Bacterial small subunit ribosomal RNA
Source: RNAcentral
UACGGAGGGAGCUAGCGUUAUUCGGAAUUACUGGGCGUAAAGCGCACGUAGGCGGACUCUUAAGUCAGGGGUGAAAUCCUGGAGCUCAACUCCAGAACUGCCUUUGAUACUGGGAGUCUUGAGUCCGGAAGAGGUAAGUGGAACUGCGAGUGUAGAGGUGAAAUUCGUAGAUAUUCGCAAGAACACCAGUGGCGAAGGCGGCUCACUGGCCCGGUACUGACGCUGAGGUGCGAAAGCGUGGGGAGCAAACAGG